RNAcentral lists this ribosomal RNA (408 nucleotides) under uncultured bacterium. Its description in RNAcentral is "partial 16S ribosomal RNA". It matches the Rfam family "Bacterial small subunit ribosomal RNA", at positions 28 to 526 of the family's 1533-position model. The record is from RNAcentral.
GACGAACGCUGGCGGCGUGCUUAACACAUGCAAGUCGAACGAAGUGGCGAACGGGUGAGUAAUACGUGAGUAACCUGCCCUCCUUUUUGGGAUAAGCCUUGGAAACGGGGUCUAAUACCGGAUAAAGGGGGCUGGGCUGGCGGCCUAUCAGCUUGUGGGUGGGGUACUGGCCUACAAAGGCGGUGACGGGUAGCCGGCCUGAGAGGUGGACCGGCCACAUUGGGACUGAGAUACGGCCCAGACUCCUACGGGAGGCAGCAGUGGGGAAGAUUGCACAAUGGGCGCAAGCCUGAUGAAGCCAGGCAGCGUGUAUGAAGAAGGCCUUAGGGUUGUAAAGUACUUUCAGCGGGGAGGCGUUACCCGCAGAAGAAGCACCGGCUAACUCCGUGCCAGCAGCCGCGGUAAUUC